Molecule: ribosomal RNA, 334 nt
Filed under: uncultured eukaryote
Lineage: Eukaryota
Description: partial 18S ribosomal RNA
Rfam family: Eukaryotic small subunit ribosomal RNA
Source: RNAcentral
CCCUUAGAUGUCCGGGGCCGCACGCGCGCUACACUGAGGGAAUCAGCGUGGCUUUCUCCCUGACCCGAAAGGGUUGGGAAACCCGUUGAAUCUCCUUCGUGAUAGGGAUUGGGGCUUGAAAUUGUUCCCCAUGAACGAGGAAUUCCCAGUAAGCGCGAGUCAUAAGCUCGCGUUGAUUACGUCCCUACCCUUUGUACACACCGCCCGUCGCUACUACCGAUUGAACGGUUUAGUGAGGGCCUCGGAUUGGUCUCGGCCCGCUCUUUACCGGGCGGCGCCGUUGGUCGAGAAGACGCUCGAACUUGAUCGUUUAGAGGAAGUAAAAGUCGUAACA